CUACGGGACGCACCAGUCGAGAAUCUUCCGCAAUGGGCGAAAGCCUGACGGAGCAAUGCCGCGUGCAGGAUGAAGGCCUUCGGGUCGUAAACUGCUGUCACCGGGGAUGAAUAAUGACAGUACCCGGGGAGGAAGUCACGGCUAACUACGUGCCAGCAGCCGCGGUAAUACGUAGGUGACAAGCGUUGUUCGGUUUUAUUGGGCGUAAAGGGUUCGUAGGAUGUUGAUUAAGAUCGGUGUGAAAUCCCAAGGCUCAACCUUGGAACUGCAUUGAUUACUGAUGAACUAGAGUGUCGUAGAGGAAAGCGGAAUUCCAGGUGUAGCGGUGGAAUGCGUAGAUAUCUGGAAGAACACCGACAGCGAAGGCAGCUUUCUGGGCGACAACCGACUCUGAGGAACGAAAGCAUGGGGAGCAAACAGGAUUAGAUACCCGGGUAGUC
RNAcentral lists this ribosomal RNA (440 nucleotides) under uncultured bacterium. RNAcentral's name for it is "partial 16S ribosomal RNA". It matches the Rfam family "Bacterial small subunit ribosomal RNA", at positions 339 to 795 of the family's 1533-position model. The record is from RNAcentral.